CUCGCGAUAUUGGGCGUAAGAGCUCGUAGGCGGUUUGUCGCGUCUGCUGUGAAAGACCGGGGCUCAACUCCGGUUCUGCAGUGGGUACGGGCAGACUAGAGUGCAGUAGGGGAGACUGGAAUUCCUGGUGUAGCGGUGAAAUGCGCAGAUAUCAGGAGGAACACCGAUGGCGAAGGCAGGUCUCUGGGCUGUAACUGACGCUGAGGAGCGAAAGCAUGGGGAGCGAACAGGAUUAGAUACCCUGGUAGUCCAUGCCGUAAACGUUGGGCACUAGGUGUGGGGGACAUUCCACGUUUUCCGCGCCGUAGCUAACGCAUUAAGUGCCCCGCCUGGGGAGUACGGCCGCAAGGCUAAAACUCAAAGGAAUUGACGGGGGCCCGCACAAGCGGCGGAGCAUGCGGAUUAAUUCGAUGCAACGCGAAGAACCUUACCAAGGCUUGACAUGAACCGGUAAUACCUGGAAACAGGUGCCCCGCUUGCGGUCGGUUUACAGGUGGUGCAUGGUUGUCGUCAGCUCGUGUCGUGAGAUGUUGGGUUAAGUCCCGCAACGAGCGCAACCCUCGUUCUAUGUUGCCAGCGGUUCGGCCGGGGACUCAUAGGAGACUGCCGGGGUCAACUCGGAGGAAGGUGGGGACGACGUCAAAUCAUCAUGCCCCUUAUGUCUUGGGCUUCACGCAUGCUACAAUGGCCGGUACAAAGGGUUGCGAUACUGUGAGGUGGAGCUAAUCCCAUAAAGCCGGUCUCAGUUCGGAUUGGGGUCUGCAACUCGACCCCAUGAAGUCGGAGUUCGCUAGUAAUCGCAGAUCAGCAACGCUGCUGUUGAAUACGUUCCCGGGCCCUUGUUACACUACCGCCCGUCAAGUCACGAAAGUUUGGUAACACCCGAAGCCGGUGGGCC
Molecule: ribosomal RNA, 898 nt
Filed under: Arthrobacter sp.
Lineage: Bacteria; Bacillati; Actinomycetota; Actinomycetes; Micrococcales; Micrococcaceae
Description: bacterial SSU rRNA
Rfam family: Bacterial small subunit ribosomal RNA
Source: RNAcentral